RNAcentral lists this long non-coding RNA (591 nucleotides) under Manacus vitellinus (golden-collared manakin). RNAcentral describes it as "lncRNA (ENSMVIG00005003594.1)". Lineage: Eukaryota; Metazoa; Chordata; Aves; Passeriformes; Pipridae. The record is from RNAcentral.
UAGGGCCUAGCACUGCAUUUUUGGUUUUGGGGGGAGAGGCAUGAGGAUGGGGGUUAACCCUGUGCAUUUCCCCCCUAGGACUGAUGACUGAAAUAAUUAAAAGAAGCAUGUUGUGGUGCUCACAGCCUCCUACCUGCUGGUCUGCAAAUGGGACCUCACCACACUGAGCUCCUUCCCGGCGCAGCAAAUCUCACUGACCACCAUUGACUGUGUUGGCCACUUCACCAUUCCAGAGGAAUCCAGAGAAGAGGGCUGUGGAAGUGGAGCGGAACAGCCAGCUUCAGAGAACUGAGCUGACAGGACCAAGUCUGGCAUUUUGGCUGCUGCAGGUGGGCCAAGCAAUCACCAGGAAUUGCCAUCCAUCCUCUGAAGAUAACAUGACCCAUGCUGGCCGAGAACAUUGAUCUGAAGCUGUAUCCUGCAAAUGCUGAACCCAUUGGUGAGCUGUAGGAGGCCUUCAGCAACCAUCAACCUCACUCCAGAAGGAAAGGGUAGAAUUUCCUGGAUGACCAAGCUGGUAAAAGAUUCUCAUUUGCUAAGAGCCAGAGUAAACCAGACUUGCCUUCUGGGAUCUGCAUACCACAACAGUCC